Helianthus annuus (common sunflower) is the source of this 525-nucleotide long non-coding RNA. RefSeq lists it as uncharacterized. The transcript has 3 exons. The record is from RefSeq and is a predicted model, not a curated record. Lineage: Eukaryota; Viridiplantae; Streptophyta; Magnoliopsida; Asterales; Asteraceae.
AAAACUUUGAAAACCCAUUACAAGGCCUACAAUUGGCCACGUGUCCCAGCCAUCUCCAUCUUUCUUUUUGCUUUUGAGGGCACUUUGGUAAAUUCAACAUUAUACUACCUAACUCUAAAAGAUAACUUGACUUUUGUCUACUAUGAUUUGACAACAUUUAUUACCCAUUUAUCUUCCCAAUGUAUCUUUCUAACUCCAUAUCUAUCAUUUUCAUUUCUAAGAAAGACCUUCAUUAAUGUCCUGCACAUCUUCAUUUACAAUUUACUUCUUCAUUUAUUCCUUUCUCCAUUAAUGUCCAUUGAGACAAAUCCAUCAUAUAACCCGUUAAUGUCGCCGGGUAGAUCUUAUACUCAUUACUUUCUAUUGAAGCCACCAAAUCUGAGGAUCGAAGCAAUUAUCGAAGCUCUUCAAGAAAAGAAAGUGGUGAUUCUACUAGAUGACAUAUCCUGUUACUACAACCCGUAGCUACCUUACCAGGAUGGUGAUGGAUACAAGGGAAACAAGAUCCAAUUCUCGGGUCCGUUG